CUUGCUUAGGAACUUAUCAGGCUGAAAUCUGCCAGCUCCUCUCUUGGUAUCAGAGUCCAUAAAGGCGAUAAGGCUUCCUUGUAAAACUUUGCCCUGAGCUUAUAAACCAUUAUCAGCCUGUGCUUGCAUUACGUGUCAGCCGACGGUUUCCUCGCUUUGCAGGCUGUGUACGCGGGGGAAUAUAAGCUUCGUGACAGCAGCCAAUCACUAGCAUAUUGAUCAUGCCAGAUGAGGAGACUUAUCUGGCCUGGAGGCAGUCUAACAUCAACUGCUAAGCAAUGAAAAAGAAACAUUUCCUGCUCUUGACUGACACUCUCCCUGGAUUUCAACAAAAGCACAUGAGACUGGAGCCUUCUCUCUACACCAGAGUGACACAGGCAUGUCAGCAACGCAACACCUGAGGCUUCAGCAUUCAACGAGGCGCGGGACGCGGAAAAGAAGAGGGAAGACCUGUAGUGUGUAUCAGGUGUAACAGCAACUCCAUGUGGACUGAUUAGGAUUCCAGUGGAGAUGCUGUUACUUUUGAUGGGCACUUGCUGACCAGCCAGGAAGAGGAUUCAGA
Long non-coding RNA from Rana temporaria (common frog), 562 nucleotides. RefSeq lists it as uncharacterized. NCBI's taxonomy places the organism in Eukaryota, Metazoa, Chordata, Amphibia, Anura, Ranidae. The record is from RefSeq and is a predicted model, not a curated record. The transcript is spliced from 2 exons.